UAAAAGGGUCGGUUGGCUAAAUAUGCCGCGCUCGCUCACAACGAGUGAGUGCUGUAUGGCAAUCUAGACAUAUGGCCGACAUAAUUUGUGGAAACUUCAUAGGGUUGGCCCAAUUGGCCGACCCUCCA
This is a small nuclear RNA of Cucurbita pepo subsp. pepo (vegetable marrow), 128 nucleotides long. RefSeq annotates it as U11 spliceosomal RNA. Lineage: Eukaryota; Viridiplantae; Streptophyta; Magnoliopsida; Cucurbitales; Cucurbitaceae. The record is from RefSeq and is a predicted model, not a curated record.